This 233-nucleotide ribosomal RNA is filed under the name uncultured bacterium. Its description in RNAcentral is "partial 16S ribosomal RNA". It matches the Rfam family "Bacterial small subunit ribosomal RNA", at positions 118 to 347 of the family's 1533-position model. The record is from RNAcentral.
UGAGCAAUCUGCCCUUCUCAUCGGAAUAAGCGUUGGAAACGACGUCUAAUGCCUAAUACGACCUCCUUUCGCAUGAUCGGAGGUGGAAAGCUCCGGCGGAGAAGGAUGAGCUCGCGGCCUAUCAGCUAGUUGGUGUGGGUAAUGGCCCACCAAGGCGACGACGGGUAGCCGGCCUGAGAGGGUGACCGGCCACACUGGGACUGAGACACGGCCCAGACUCCGUACGGGAGCAG